CAGGAGCACAGAUUUUCUUGAUAAUCGUGGUAUCAAAUUCAGGAUUCAAGUGCGGACUUUUCAUGGCAGCAUGUACCCACCAGAUUAAUAUUCCUGUGCAUUUUUGUUGAACUGUUCCCUGUCUUUCAUUUGCUUAGUAUUCAAAGCUAAAUGUUCCUCCUCUUCUAUCUCCCUCCAUCCCUUUACAGAUGUUACUCUGGCUCAGUGAGAGAUACUAUAAGGAAGCUCCUACGUAUGAAUGAAAUGUUUUUUCCAACAGAGAGGUCAAGGGAUCCUCUGCUCCUGAAGCUGGCCAAGGGAAAGUGUGACAACUGUAACCAUGUGCUGGAGAAUCCUGUUGAAGAAGAUACUAACAUAGAUACAGUAAAAUAAAUUAUGAACCCCUGAGAAUUCUGCUUGUUUGGAUGGAAAUAAGAUGAAUAUGAGUUUGUAACAUGUCCUUAGCGAGAUUGUCCAAAGAAGGGAGUCAAGCCAAAGUAAGAAAAAUCUACCAGUGUAGUGGAAGGCUAAAAACAGGCUUUUGUAAGCUUUUAAAUCAUGUUUGUUCUGCCUGAAUUGCAGGUGAGAGCAGGAGCUGGAGCAGCUCGGUGACUGUCUGUGGGCCAGCAGCCUCUCAAGCUGCAGCUCCUGUCUCAUGGACAGCAAGCCCCGAGGAGAGCCUCGAGAUGAAGCGCAGGCUGAGGCAACUCGUUCUGCCUGCUGUUCUGCUUUAGGACAUCAUCCUCCUCUCCUUCCCCUGUGCCUCACUCCCACCUUCACAGCCACUUGUUCUGCCUUGUCUCUGUUCCCUCCUUGUGCCAAGUGUCAAAUCAAUUGUCUGUGUGAUUAGUAAGAACAAUUGUCCAGGAUGGACUGACAACCUCUGAAAUGAUUAGAAGGAAGUCGGAAUAUCCCUGGAAGAGGGGAUCAGAAGAGAACUCUGGCGAUAAGGACAUUUUUUUUCAUUGUGAUGCUCUCAGAUGGCCAGUGACUGGGAAUUUCCGCCGUGACCAUCACCACAAGGCUUGCAGCAAGGCAGCCUGGGGUUUUGUUCAAGGCUCAUCUUCUUAUUGCCAGCAGAUAGUUAGCUUCUGCCUGCACAUUGCCAGGCCCAGGUACUAGAUGAGAAUGAAAAGGAGCCUGUCUUUGCUCAGACCGUCUUGGCUUUGUCCCGAGCCCACACUGCUAUAGGUGCUCAUAGGUUUUCUUCCUGUGCUCUGAUAGGGUAAUGAAAGUAUGGAAUAAAUAUGGACACGGUUCAUUUUCUGUAACUGUC
This 1255-nucleotide long non-coding RNA is filed under the name Struthio camelus australis. Its description in RNAcentral is "lncRNA (ENSSCUG00000004373.1)". The record is from RNAcentral. Lineage: Eukaryota; Metazoa; Chordata; Aves; Struthioniformes; Struthionidae.